This 23-nucleotide microRNA is filed under the name Mus musculus (house mouse). RNAcentral describes it as "mmu-miR-106a-3p". Its record names the gene mmu-miR-106a-3p. The record is from miRBase by way of RNAcentral. Lineage: Eukaryota; Metazoa; Chordata; Mammalia; Rodentia; Muridae.
ACUGCAGUGCCAGCACUUCUUAC